Molecule: small RNA, 27 nt
Filed under: Bombyx mori (domestic silkworm)
Lineage: Eukaryota; Metazoa; Arthropoda; Insecta; Lepidoptera; Bombycidae
Description: ovarian small RNA-4704
Source: RNAcentral
CAGCAAGCGCUUGGUGACCUUCAGCUC